This 991-nucleotide ribosomal RNA is filed under the name Staphylococcus aureus. RNAcentral's name for it is "partial 23S ribosomal RNA". It matches the Rfam family "Bacterial large subunit ribosomal RNA", at positions 1 to 987 of the family's 2925-position model. The record is from RNAcentral. Lineage: Bacteria; Bacillati; Bacillota; Bacilli; Caryophanales; Staphylococcaceae.
AGAUUAAGUUAUUAAGGGCGCACGGUGGAUGCCUUGGCACUAGAAGCCGAUGAAGGACGUUACUAACGACGAUAUGCUUUGGGGAGCUGUAAGUAAGCUUUGAUCCAGAGAUUUCCGAAUGGGGAAACCCAGCAUGAGUUAUGUCAUGUUAUCGAUAUGUGAAUACAUAGCAUAUCAGAAGGCACACCCGGAGAACUGAAACAUCUUAGUACCCGGAGGAAGAGAAAGAAAAUUCGAUUCCCUUAGUAGCGGCGAGCGAAACGGGAAGAGCCCAAACCAACAAGCUUGCUUGUUGGGGUUGUAGGACACUCUAUACGGAGUUACAAAGGACGACAUUAGACGAAUCAUCUGGAAAGAUGAAUCAAAGAAGGUAAUAAUCCUGUAGUCGAAAAUGUUGUCUCUCUUGAGUGGAUCCUGAGUACGACGGAGCACGUGAAAUUCCGUCGGAAUCUGGGAGGACCAUCUCCUAAGGCUAAAUACUCUCUAGUGACCGAUAGUGAACCAGUACCGUGAGGGAAAGGUGAAAAGCACCCCGGAAGGGGAGUGAAAUAGAACCUGAAACCGUGUGCUUACAAGUAGUCAGAGCCCGUUAAUGGGUGAUGGCGUGCCUUUUGUAGAAUGAACCGGCGAGUUACGAUUUGAUGCAAGGUUAAGCAGUAAAUGUGGAGCCGUAGCGAAAGCGAGUCUGAAUAGGGCGUUUAGUAUUUGGUCGUAGACCCGAAACCAGGUGAUCUACCCUUGGUCAGGUUGAAGUUCAGGUAACACUGAAUGGAGGACCGAACCGACUUACGUUGAAAAGUGAGCGGAUGAACUGAGGGUAGCGGAGAAAUUCCAAUCGAACCUGGAGAUAGCUGGUUCUCUCCGAAAUAGCUUUAGGGCUAGCCUCAAGUGAUGAUUAUUGGAGGUAGAGCACUGUUUGGACGAGGGGCCCCUCUCGGGUUACCGAAUUCAGACAAACUCCGAAUGCCAAUUAAUUUAACUUGGGAGUCAG